UACGUAGGGGGCAAGCGUUGUCCGGAAUUAUUGGGCGUAAAGAGCGCGUAGGCGGUCCGAUAAGUCGGCUGUGAAAGUCAAGGGCUCAACCCUUGAAUGCCGGUUGAUACUGUCGGGCUAGAGUCCGGAAGAGGCGAGUGGAAUUCCCGGUGUAGCGGUGAAAUGCGCAGAUAUCGGGAGGAACACCAAUGGCGAAGGCAGCUCGCUGGGACGGUACUGACGCUGAGACGCGAAAGCGUGGGGAGCAAACAGG
This 253-nucleotide ribosomal RNA is filed under the name uncultured bacterium. RNAcentral describes it as "partial 16S ribosomal RNA". It matches the Rfam family "Bacterial small subunit ribosomal RNA", at positions 524 to 776 of the family's 1533-position model. The record is from RNAcentral.